This is an RNA transcript of Rosa rugosa (rugosa rose), 1968 nucleotides long. It is a transcript of the gene named F-box/kelch-repeat protein At3g23880-like, with no coding region annotated. The transcript is spliced from 3 exons. The record is from RefSeq and is a predicted model, not a curated record. NCBI's taxonomy places the organism in Eukaryota, Viridiplantae, Streptophyta, Magnoliopsida, Rosales, Rosaceae.
AAAAUCCAAGAUAUACAAGAAUUCGAAGAAGUUCAUACACGCGCCGCCGUCACUGCCACUGCACUCGACCGUUCCAAAGAUCUCUCCUCCAAAACGCACUGCAUCGGCCUUCCUCCGAAUUCAAACUAAUCGCCACCAAUUCCAUGGCGAACGCCGGCGGCCUUCAUAAGCGAGCUCUUACCAGUCUCGCCGACCACGAUGGCGUCCUUGACGAGAUUCUGGCAAGGCUACCGGUCAAAUCACUGAUGCGAUUUCGCUGCGUCUGCAACUCAUGGCGUUCUCUCAUUUCACAGUCUCAUUUUGUCACCAAGCACUUCACUUACGCAAGCCAAGGCAUCACCGAGUCCACCUCAAGGCUCCUUUUCUCGACGAAUCCUGUCGAAUCCAUAGACUACGAAGCCUUGAAGGAUCUGAAUGAUGAAGAUUCUCAUCUUGCAAUUAGAAAGCUCAAGUUUCCGGUAAUGUUCCCUGAUUCAAGUAUUACAACAAUUAUAGGUUCUUGCAAUGGGCUGAUAUGCAUAGAUGUUGACCAGGAAGGGAUUGUGAUAUGGAACCCUUGUACUGGAGAAGCCAAUGUGUUGCCAAAACGUACUGAUGAUUGCAUACCGCAGUUUUGGGGAUUUGGUUAUGAUUCCACUCAUGAUGAUUAUAAGGUAGUGAGAGGGUACAAUUAUAGAGUUAGGGGUUCUAAGGAAACAGUGGUUCAGGUCUUUAGUUUAAAAUCAGGUUCAUGGAGGACCCAUGAGGGUCUCGGUUACUUUAACUUGGCAGGGCGGGGGUGCUUGUUAAACGGGGUUCUGCAUUGGUUAGAGACCACAUUCACUGAUUAUCAUCCGACAGGGUCGAGGAUUAUCUCAUUUGAUUUAGGGGAGGAGGAGUUUAGGGAGAUGCUUGCAUUGCCCUAUAAUGCCUGUUUUAGUUAUAUUUUUACUCUUGGAGAUUGUCUCAGUGUGUAUAGACUUGGCUUCCUACACAAUGAGACCACUGGUUUUAGAAUAUGGAUGAUGAAAGGGGUCAAGGAGUCUUGGACUGAGGUUAUAUCUUCAGAGAGUUUACCUGAAGAGUAUGAAUUAUCUCUCUUGACACCUCUGUGCAUUUUAGAGAACGGUGAAGUUUUGAUGGUUAAAAUAGAUAAUUAUCAGUCCUUGGUGUUAUAUAGCCCGAAGGAACAGAUAUUUAGGGUUGUUAUUAGGACGCAAAACAAAUGGAAGUUGGAUACAGCCAUUUACAGGGAGACUUUAGUUUCACCAGUAACCAGACGUGUUGCAGACAUCUGACAUUAUUUGUUGGGGAGCUAAUGUAUCAUCACUAUGAUCCUCAAGGAAAUCUCCAAAAUAUUUGAACCAAGCUGAAGUAAAAGGCUGCUAGAGGUUAACUGCCUAGUUGUAAUUCAAGUGAUGGCGGAGGACAUGGCAUCAAGGCUUGUGGCGGCGUUGGCUUUGACGGAGGACGCGGUGGUGGAUUUUGGGGAGGUUGGUUUGGUGGUGGUGAUGCAGGAAUUUUUCUACUUAGUGGGCCGUUUGAUUCAAAGGAAGGUAGGCAAUGAGAAGGGCCUUCCGAGCACUCUUUCGGCGAUUUGGGGACUUGGUGAUCACUUGGCCAUCUUAGCGGUGGGAGAGGGCCGAUAUCUGCUGUUUCGUUUUCGGUGCUGUGAUGAGUGCAAUAAGAUCCUGCAUGGGGAACCCUGGUUUUUCAAUAGGCGCAUGCUCUUACUUGGUGAGUAUGAUCCUGUAAGGUUGAUUACGGCAAACUAUGGUUUGGACGACCAAGUUUGACAGGAGGCAGCCAGUGUUGCUUUAGGCAUUAAGGGGUAAAUUUGGUAAAUAUAGAUAAUUAUUUAGCAAUUAGUAUACGUGUAACUUUGAAUAAUAUCAAAUUAUAGACAAAGCAGACUCAUGCACUUAGAAAACAAAGUCCUUUAUCUCCUUAAUGAUAGAUAUAACAUCGGUCUAUCUUUUGAACUCAUUC